Molecule: ribosomal RNA, 466 nt
Filed under: uncultured bacterium
Lineage: Bacteria
Description: partial 16S ribosomal RNA
Rfam family: Bacterial small subunit ribosomal RNA
Source: RNAcentral
GACGAACGCUGGCGGCGUGCUUAACACAUGCAAGUCGAACGGAAAGGCCAGUGCUUGCCCUGGUACUCGAGUGGCGAACGGGUGAGUAACACGUGGGUGAUCUGCCUUGCACUCUGGGAUAAGCUUGGGAAACUGGGUCUAAUACCGGAUAUGAACUGCCUUUAGUGUGGUGGUUGGAAAGUUUUUUCGGUGCAAGAUGAGCUCGCGGCCUAUCGGCUUGUUGGUGGGGUAAUGGCCUACGAAGGCGUCGACGGGUAGCCGGCCUGAGAGGGUGUACGGCCACAUUGGGACUGAGAUACGGCCCAGACUCCUACGGGAGGCAGCAGUGGGGAAUAUUGCACAAUGGGCGGAAGCCUGAUGCAGCGACGCCGCGUGGGGGAUGACGGCCUUCGGGUUGUAAACUCCUUUCGACAGGGACGAAGCGUAAGUGACGGUACCUGUAUAAGAAGCACCGGCUAACUACGUG